AGAGUUUGAUCCUGGCUCAGAACGAACGCUGGCGGCAGGCCUAACACAUGCAAGUCGAGCGAGACCUUCGGGUCUAGCGGCGGACGGGUUAGUAACGCGUGGGAACGUGCCCUUCUCUGCGGAAUAGCCACUGGAAACGGUGAGUAAUACCGCAUACGCCCUUCGGGGGAAAGAUUUAUCGGAGAAGGAUCGGCCCGCGUUAGAUUAGUUAGUUGGUAAGGUAACGGCUUACCAAGGCAGCGAUAGGUAGGGGUCCUGAGAGGGAGAUCCCCCACACUGGUACUGAGACACGGACCAGACUCCUACGGGAGGCAGCAGUGAGGAAUAUUGGACAAUGGGCGAGAGCCUGAUCCAGCCAUGCCGCGUGCAGGAAGACUGCCCUAUGGGUUGUAAACUGCUUUUACAGAGGAAGAACCACUCCCACGUGUGGGAGUUUGACGGUACUCUGCGAAUAAGGAUCGGCUAACUCCGUGCCAGCAGCCGCGGUAAUACGGAGGAUCCAAGCGUUAUCCGGAAUCAUUGGGUUUAAAGGGUCCGUAGGCGGGCAGUUAAGUCAGUGGUGAAAGUCUUCCGCUCAACGGGAGAACUGCCAUUGAUACUGAUUGUCUUGAGUUAUUAUGAAGUGGUUAGAAUGAGUAGUGUAGCGGUGAAAUGCAUAGAUAUUACUCAGAAUACCGAUUGCGAAGGCAGAUCACUAAUAAUAUACUGACGCUGAUGGACGAAAGCGUAGGUAGCGAACAGGAUUAGAUACCCUGGUAGUCUACGCCGUAAACGAUGGUUACUAGCUGUUCGGCCCGAUUAAGGGCUGAGUGGUUAAGCGAAAGUGAUAAGUAACCCACCUGGGGAGUACGUUCGCAAGAAUGAAACUCAAAGGAAUUGACGGGGGCCCGCACAAGCGGUGGAGCAUGUGGUUUAAUUCGAUGAUACGCGAGGAACCUUACCAGGGCUUAAAUGUAGUCUGACAGGAGUGGGA
This 973-nucleotide ribosomal RNA is filed under the name uncultured bacterium. RNAcentral's name for it is "bacterial SSU rRNA". It matches the Rfam family "Bacterial small subunit ribosomal RNA", at positions 8 to 1006 of the family's 1533-position model. The record is from RNAcentral.